GGAGGCGUGCCCGAGCGGCCGAAGGGAGCGGUCUUGAAAACCGUAGAGGUGGCAACACCUCCGUGGGUUCAAAUCCCACCGCCUCCGCCC
This 90-nucleotide transfer RNA is filed under the name Streptomyces sp. NRRL F-6602. RNAcentral describes it as "tRNA-Ser". It matches the Rfam family "tRNA". Rfam says of the family: Transfer RNA (tRNA) molecules are approximately 80 nucleotides in length. Lineage: Bacteria; Bacillati; Actinomycetota; Actinomycetes; Kitasatosporales; Streptomycetaceae. The record is from RNAcentral.